CAAACUAGACCAGACAUACAUUUAUGUUGCUUGCUUAUUAUUGCCUUUCCAAAUUACUGAACUUUCUGUGUGUUGUGUACUGAUUUAACAUCAAAAAUCAAAUGAACCAUCACAGGGUUUUUUCUUUCUGUCACAGUUAAUGUUUGUAUUAAGAGUGACUGAGAGGGUGUUUUAGUUGUCAAUCAAAGGCGUUGUUGAAUUUUUUGUUUUUUUUUUUUUUGGUUGUUUGUUUUUGGGAUAUAUGAAAUGAGAUAUUGAGAAAUGGAGCAGGGCCCAUCUGGCGGUGAGGACCAUAGGUGUAGGAGAAGAGGGACACCGAAUUGGAGGUGUAGUGAGAGAGCCUUGGAUGGUAAGGCUUUCUGUGAGAAGCAUCAUCUUUAUGUGGUGCUGAGGAACAAGAAGAAGAAGAUGGAGAAGGUUGCUCGUGAAAUUGGUGGUGGAGGGGAAAUGGGUUCUGAGAGAAAGAAGAGAAAAAGACAAAAACUUGAAGAUAUUUUGGGGAACCAAGAAGUGGGUCUUGGGGACGAUAGUGUGCAAGAGUGGUUUGCUGGUGGUAGUGGUACUGCUGUGAGCGUUGGGGAAGAAAUUGCAAGGCUGUUUGGUGAGGUCAGUGAUGGAAAUGGUGGUCUGGGUGGUCUUGAGGGUGAAAGUUUACAGCUUUGGCCUGGUGGGGAUGGUCAAGCAUUUGGUCAAGGUGUAUGUGGAAAUGGCGGUCAAGUUCUUGGUGGCGGUGGUGUUAGUGAAGGAAUUCAAGGUGGGUAUGGUGGUCUGGGACUUGAUGGUGAAGCAAUUCAGUUAUGGGGUAGUGAUGAUGCUUGUAAAAAUGGUGGUGGGGUCCCUGGUGGGCAGGGAAUUCAGGUGGAGGGGUUUGGUGGGACUGCAUGUGACAUUGAAGGCCUGAUUCUUGGUGGUGGUGGAGGAAUUCAAGAGAGUUAUGGUGGGAAUAUGAGUGGAAUUGGUGGUCUUGAGGAUUUUAAUGGUAAAAAGGUUCAGCUUUGGAGCAGUGCAAAUGUUUGUGAAAAUAGUAGUGGGCUUUUUGGUGGUCAAGGAAUUCAUGGGGGUGGGUCUAUGGAGAAUGCUGGUGAAAAUGAUGGUCUGGGUUUUGGUACUGGAAGAUUUCAAGACCUGUUUAGCAAGGUUACUGGUGAAACUCUUGUUGAUGGAAGAAUUCAAGCCCUUUUUGGUGAAACUAGCUGUGGAAAUGAUGGUCUGAGUUUUAGCGGUGAAGGCAUCCAGUUUUGGUGUGAGGAAGCUGCAUGUGCAAAUCUUGAUGGUAAAGGAGUCCAAGGUCUCUUUGGUGAUAAUGUAUGUGUAAAUGGAGGUGAAGUUGGAGUUGGAAAUGGUGACAGGCAAGAGGUGGUAGAGUCAAGAGGAAAGCGUGGCCGUCCGAAGGGAUCAAAGAAUAAGAAGAAAAGUUUGGGUACAGAAGAAUGUAUUGAAGGGUUGAGUGGAGUUACUGGUGAAAAUGGAGUUAGAGAUGAGGUUAAGUCGGAGGCUAAGCAGGGUAGGCCAAAGGGUCCAAAGAAUAAGAGGAAAAGUCUUGAGAUGGACAAAAAUGAGAGAAUGCCUGGUCAAGAAACUGCUUGUAUGACAGCUUUGGAUAAUGAGAGGCUGUUUCAAGAGGUUGAGAAGGAUAAAGAAUUGGCUGAAGAAGGAGCAAUUUCUGUUAAUGAAGUUAGGAAUGAGAUUGUUGAACCAAAGCCAAAGCGCGGCCGACCAAAGGGUUCAACGAACAAGUUAAAGAAUCUUUCAGGUCAACAAAAUCAGGGAGUGCCUAGUGAAAUUAUGAAUAAUAAUUUCAGUGAUAUAGUUGUUUGGCCUACUGGUUUGGAGAAUGAGAUGCUGACUCCUGUUGGUGAAAAAGAGUGGAAAUUGCCCAUUGAAGCCACUCGUGAUGGUGAAGAUGGGGAUGAGAAUACCCAGCCAAAGUAUAAUCUUGGUCGACCAAAGGGUUCAAAGAACAAGAAGAAAAAAUCAGAAGCUCAAGAAAAUCAAGGAACCCCCGGCAAUAUUGUGGUUGUUAAUGAUGGUGGUGAUAAAACUCUUUGCCCAAUUGGUGGGGGGAAUGAAGGUGGAACUGAGAUUGUUCAGCAAAAGAAGAAGCUUGGUCGUCCAAAGGGUGCAAAGAAUAAGAAGAAAAAUACAGCAGGUCAAGAAAAUGAAGAAAUAGCUAGCAAAAUGGUGGUUGCUAAUAAUGGCUUUGAUGAAACUGUUUGGCCAUUAGAAUUGGAGUAUGAGAGGCAAACUUUUAUAGGUAAGGAAGAUAGGGGAUUGCAUUUGGAAGCCACUAAUGAUAAUGAAGGAGGAGAUGAGAUUGUGAGGCCAAAUGAUAAGCCUGGUCAACCAAAGGGUUUAAAGAAUAUGCAGAACAUUCUUGCUGAUAAAGAAAACCAGGGAAUGCUCUGCAAAGGCAGUAAUGAUGGUAGUUGGGUUGAAACUCUUGGGCCAAUUACAGUGAGUUAUGAGAAUGAGAGGCCUAUUCUUGUAAGUGAAGAAGAUAGGGGGAUGCCAGUUGAAGCCACUGGUGGUAAUGGAGGUGGAGGGACUGUCCAGCCAAAGAAAAGGCUAGGCCGACCAAAGGGUUCAAAGAAUAAGAAGAAAAUUGUUGCAGAUCAAGAAAAUGAGGGAGUGACUGGUGAAACCAUGCACAGUAAAGAUGGUGGCAGAGCUGAGACUAUUUUGUCAAUGGAUUCUCAAUAUGAGAGGCCUACUUUUGUAGGUGAAGAAGAUCAAGGGAUGCUGUUUGAAUCCACUGUUGGUGAUGGAACUGCAAAUGAGGUGAUCCAGCCAAACGAUAAGCUUAAAGGUUUAGAGAACAUGAAGAAGCGAGGCCGACCGAAGGGUUCAAAGAAGAAGAGAACUAUUAUCAUUGGUGAAGCUUUGAAAAUAGCAAAGACGCGUCAAGCAUUGAGGGAUUCUGGUGAUGUAGAGAUAAAGUCUAAUGAGUUAAUAUCAGAACCCAGCAGUGUUCUGAAAAGGCCUAGAGGGAGGCCCAGAAAAUUCAAGAAUAAAAAAAGAAACCCUGAUGGCAUUAGGGAGGGAAGAUCAACUGAGGAUGGAUUGGAAAAUUCAGGAUUUUCAGAUGAUUCUAGUAAGAAAAAUCAAAGGAGUUUACCGUGCCACCAGUGCUGGAGAAAUAAUACAUGUGAUAUUGUUGUUUGUUCCAAUUGCAAGAAGAGACGCUAUUGCCACAAGUGCCUUGCAAAGUGGUAUCCAGAUAAAUCAAGAGAAGAUGUGGAGAUUGCAUGCCCUUUUUGUUGUGGUAAUUGCAAUUGUAGAGUAUGCCUCAAGGAGGAAUUAAAUGUGAUGGUUGGACAUGAACAAGAAGAUAUGGAUACCAAUGCCAAAUUGCAAAAAUUUCUUUAUUUGCUAUACAAAACUCUGCCUCUUCUCAGGCAUAUUCAACAGGAGCAGAGCUCUGAAUUAGAUAUUGAAGCCAGCAUACAUGGUGUCAAAAUUAUGGAGGAGGAUAUUUCCAGAUCUGUACUUGAUGAUGAUGAUCGAGUGUAUUGUGACAACUGCAAUACAUCUAUUGUCAAUAUCCACCGAAGCUGCUCCAAUCCUGAUUGCUCUUAUGAUCUCUGUCUCACUUGUUGCCAAGAACUAAGAAAAGGAUUUCAGCAUGGAGGUGAUGAAACAGAAUCUUCCCACCAACAAGGACUGUGUGAUCAAAAUACAGAAUUGAAUGGUCAGACUGCAAAUGGAAAGAUAUUUGGUUGGGACAGCCAUAUGGACCUUCCCAUAAAUGAGAGCAUGGCUGACAUGUCUUUUAAUGUUCCUGAUUGGAAUGCAGAGGUUGACGGUAGGAUUCCUUGCCCCCCAAAAGUGCGAGGAGGUUGUGGUAGGGAGAUGCUUGUACUGAAACGCAUAUUUGAAGCAGAUUGGGUUGACAAUUUGAUUAAGAGUGCAGAGGACCUAAUUGUCAAGUAUCAGCCACCAGAUAAUGAUUUUUCUCAAGGAUGUUCUUUGUGUGAUCCUAUGAAUAUUGCUCAAAAUGGAGCAAGAGAUUCUGAAGUAAGGUGGGCAGCUUAUAGGGAGAGUAGUCAUGAUAACUUUCUCUAUUGUCCAAAUGCGGUUCAUUUGGAGGAUAAUGACUUUGAACAUUUUCAAAUGCAUUGGAUGCAAGGUGAACCUGUCAUAGUUAGAAAUGUACUUGAAAAGGGUUCUGGUCUUAGUUGGGAACCAAUGGUCAUGUGGAGGGCAUUUAUUGGGGCAAAAAAGAUAUUAAAAGAGGAGGUAGCGAAGUUUAAAGCUAUUGAUUGCUUAGAUUGGUGUGAGGUUGAGAUUAAUAUCUUCCAGUUUUUCAAGGGUUACCUACAUGGCCGUAGUUACAGGAAUGGGUGGCCAGAGAUGUUGAAGCUGAAGGAUUGGCCUGCAUCAAAUUCUUUUGAGGAGUGUCUGCCCAGACAUGGUGCUGAAUUUGUUGCGAUGCUUCCCUUCUGUGACUAUACAAAUCCUAGAUCUGGUCUCCUGAAUCUAGCUACAAAACUUCCUGCUGUUUUGAAGCCAGACCUGGGACCCAAAACAUAUAUUGCUUAUGGAUCUUUAGAAGAGCUUGGUAGAGGUGAUUCAGUGACAAAACUACAUUGCGACAUUUCCGAUGCGGUUAAUGUAUUGACCCACACAACAGAAGUAAAGAUUCCUCCAAGACAGCGUAAAUUCAUAACCAAAUUAAAGAAGAAAUAUGAAGCUGAAGAUUUGCAUAAGCCUUGUGAUGGUACACACAAGUUCCCUAGUACAUCUGGAAGAAAGCGACGAAAAAGAUCUCGCAAAGGUAACAGAAAAGUUCAUGGGUAUUCUGAAAAGGCUGACAUUAUUGAAAGUGACUCUUGCUUGCUGGAAAGGCCAAAUAUAGAGGAAGGAACACUGGAUGAACAACAAAAUAAAUCCUUGGAUUUUGGAAGUCCUUCUCCAGAAAGUUUACUGAUUGUUAAUUCACAGAGCGAUUCAGUUGGAGAUUUUCAUAAAAGGGUUCAGAAGUUUGAUCUUCAUAUGUGUGAUUCUAGCUCUUCUUUGCUGGGAGGGAAUUGUGAUAGGGCAUGUGAUAUGGUUAAGGACAAGGUUGAAUUGAUAAAGCGCUUGUCACCAUGCAAUGGUCUUGCUAAAGAUACCUUGUUAUGUGAAAGAAUGGAGCUCGAACAAAGCACUCAAAACAACUAUGAAAAAGAAAAAGCUUUAGGUUUGAAGGUAAAAUUUGAUGAGUUUUGCUCUCUCAAAAAUCAGCCUGACACAUGCACCAGCGUAGUUGACUUGAAUUCAUCCAUUGUGCCUACUUGCAUAACUGGGGACUUUAAAACAAAUGUGACUGAACAACCUAAAUUUAAAGGAUCCUGCAUUUGCCAAUGCAAGAAUGUCAAGGAGAACUUUUCACCUGAUGCGAUAAUUGCUGGUACCAACCAUACUGCCACUAUUGAAAUUAGUUGUGCCAGAUGCAAAAUUCCUGCAAUUGAAGACGUUAGUGCUGAUCUGCUUGAUGCCCAGAGUGAAAUGGUUGAAACUGAUAAACACGUGCCUUCAAGUUCGACAGUGACAAGGACGAUGACAAAUUGGAAUGGUUCUGUGGAGGUGACAUUUGCAGGCAGCCAUACAGAUGGUACAAAGUCAGACCCAGUUCAGAUAGCUGUAGAUCCCAACUCCUGUGCAAAAAGUUGGGAAGUUUCUGAUGUCCCUUUAUCUAAAGAGCAGCUCUCAGGCCCUCACCGUCCUGUAAGUGGAACUGCUGCUGGGUGUAGCUUCACCUUGUCAGAUGGGGUUGCUACAGGCCUCAACUGUCCUGCUACUGAAGAAUUUUGGUCUACUUAUGAAGGUGAUGCUAAAGAUGUAAGAGUUGAAAGAGAUUCAGGUAAUCUAAAACAUUUUCAGCCUUCAAGUACAAUGGCAGAACUUAAGCCUGUCAAGGGGGAAUACUCUUCUGGUGCAACAGUUUCAGGCAAUAUAAAUAACAACUUAGAGCCAACCAAACCAGAAAUAAGUUCCACCAGAGAUCCCCUUCAAAACAAAGAUAUUUCAGAGGUUGCAUAUGGAUGUGCUGUAUGGGACAUUUUCCGUAGGCAGGAUGUACCCAAGUUAAUUGAGUACUUACGGAAGCAUCACAAAGAAUUCUGCCACAUCAGCAAUCUUCCUGUAAAUUCUGUUAUUCAUCCUAUUCACGACCAAACCCUUUAUCUGAACGAGAAGCAUAAAAAGCAGCUGAAGGAAGAGUUUGGUGUUGAACCAUGGACAUUUGAGCAACACCUUGGCGAGGCCGUGUUCAUUCCUGCAGGAUGCCCACAUCAAGUGAGGAAUAGACAGUCAUGCAUAAAAGUGGCCCUUGACUUUGUUUCCCCUGAGAACGUUCAAGAAUGCAUCCGGCUGACAGAAGAGUUUCGUCUACUCCCAAAAACGCAUAGAUCUAAAGAAGAUAAAUUGGAGGUUAAGAAGAUGGCACUAUAUGCAGUUUCUAAUGCUGUAAGUGAAGCCAAAAAUCUAAUGUCCAAAAUUGACUUUCGGCCGAUAUAUGGCAACAAUCGUAUUGGAAGAAGAAAUGCUAAGGACAAAGGCUUCACCUGAAGAUUAAGGGUGACCUGAUUAGAGAAUCAAAAAAUAGAUUCAGAAAGUGUUUAGUUAAGUGAAACAUGGAUUAGUUCAUCAAAUGGAGACAAGAAAGCCUAGGAGCAUCCAUUUUAAUUGAUGGCUCUCAUGAAGAAAAAAGCCUUAACUGUAAAGAAAGUAGUUGCUGAAUAGUAUGUUGAAUCCUGAAUGUCUUCGGGACAUUUUUGUUUUAGAAUAGUUUGGGGUCGUCAAUGAUGUCUUACUUACUCAACUAUUGAUUCUAUUAUCUUUAGUCCUGAAGAUUACUCUAGGCCUACAUGUUAGUUUGCCAGGAGUGUACAGAAUAAAUUUUUGAAUGUUACUUGGCUUGCAUGUUGCGACCCUAACUAGUCUAUUGAGAAUUGAUAGCCGACCCCAAAAUUUAGGGAUUAUGGCUUGGUUGUUUUUGUGAUACUAAGCCUGCAUGUUAGCAAUAACCUUGCUGCCCUUCAGGAAAGAACUACUUUUGGCCAAUGAUGUUUAAUGGGAAUAGUAUGAAAGCCAUUUGGAUGUUUA
Quercus lobata is the source of this 7086-nucleotide RNA transcript. RefSeq lists it as uncharacterized. The record is from RefSeq and is a predicted model, not a curated record. The transcript is spliced from 14 exons. Lineage: Eukaryota; Viridiplantae; Streptophyta; Magnoliopsida; Fagales; Fagaceae.